This 596-nucleotide long non-coding RNA is filed under the name Ananas comosus (pineapple). RNAcentral's name for it is "long non-coding RNA (ACOM_LNC028334)". Lineage: Eukaryota; Viridiplantae; Streptophyta; Magnoliopsida; Poales; Bromeliaceae. The record is from RNAcentral.
UCAUCGAAAUAGUUUGAUUUUUGGGUAAGCUUCAAAUACCCCCCUUAUGGUUUCACACUUUCUCACUUUAGUACUAUAUAGUUUAAAGUGUAUCAAGUUAGCCCCUAUGGUUUCACACUUUCUCACUUUAGUACCCUGUGUUUUAAAGUGUAUCAAGUUAGUACCCUGUGGUUUCAUUUUUCUCUUUUUAUUAUCCAUUUCACUAAUUUUUUUUUGUUAAAUCAGUGAUAAAGUUAAAAUUAAAGGGUACUAAAGUGAAUAUUCGAUUAACCUAGGUAGGAUAUCAUAAGUUUUUUUAUAUAUAAUUUAACGAAAUAUUAACGGAGGAAAAAAAAUCAAUGACAAAGUUAAAACUAAAGGGUACUAAAGUAAAUAUUCGAUAAACCUAGGUAGGAUAUCUGAAGUUUUUUGUUUAUAAUUUAACGAAAUAUUAACAGAGGAGCCGAUGAAAAGAGAAAAAUGAAACCGCAGGGUACUAAAUUGAUGUACUUUAAACCACAGGGUACUAAAGUGAGAAAGUGUGAAACCACAGGGUACUAAAUUGAUAGAUUUUAAACCACAAGGUACUAAAGUGAAAAGGUGCGAAACCACAAGUG